CCCUGCAUUGCCUCGUACGGCGAGUGAAGCGGCAAAAGCUCAAAUUUGAAAUCUAGCACUUUCAGUGUUCGAGUUGUAAUUUGAAGAAGGUAACUUUGGUUUUGGCUCUUGUCUAUGUUCCUUGGAACAGGACGUCACAGAGGGUGAGAAUCCCGUGCGAUGAGAUGCCCAAUUCCAUGUAAAGUGCUUUCGAAGAGUCGAGUUGUUUGGGAAUGCAGCUCUAAGUGGGUGGUAAAUUCCAUCUAAAGCUAAAUAUUGGCGAGAGACCGAUAGCGAACAAGUACAGUGAUGGAAAGAUGAAAAGAACUUUGAAAAGAGAGUGAAAAAGUACGUGAAAUUGUUGAAAGGGAAGGGCUUGAGAUCAGACUUGGUAUUUUGCGUUCCCUUCCUUUUUGGUUGGGUUCCUCGCAGUUUACUGGGCCAGCAUCGGUUUGGAUGGUAGGAUAAUGACAUUGGAAUGUAGCUUUACUUCGGUGAAGUGUUAUAGACUUUGUUGAUACUGCCUAUCUAGACCGAGGACUGCGUCUUUGACUAGGAUGCUGGCGUAAUGAUCUUAAGCCGCCCGUCUUGA
This 571-nucleotide ribosomal RNA is filed under the name [Candida] sp. RNAcentral's name for it is "Candida sp. (in: Saccharomycetales) partial large subunit ribosomal RNA". It matches the Rfam family "Eukaryotic large subunit ribosomal RNA", at positions 68 to 657 of the family's 3401-position model. Lineage: Eukaryota; Fungi; Ascomycota; Saccharomycetes; Saccharomycetales. The record is from RNAcentral.